This 408-nucleotide long non-coding RNA is filed under the name Elaeis guineensis (African oil palm). RNAcentral's name for it is "long non-coding RNA (EGUI_LNC081203)". Lineage: Eukaryota; Viridiplantae; Streptophyta; Magnoliopsida; Arecales; Arecaceae. The record is from RNAcentral.
AAUUUGUACAUAUGAAGGUUCUUCGGUGGAGACCCUCCAAUGCUUAAGUUACUCGGAGCUUGAGCACAGUAGAAAGAAGAGUAUAAGCUCAGUGUGGCAUACCUCGAGGGUCCCUCAUUAUCUCUUUAUAUAAAGGUGGAGUAGUGGACCAUUAUAUAGGUCGAUAAAUUAGAUCAUGAUCUAUUAGGCCAUUAGGAUAAGGAAUCUGAAGAUUCUUAGUCAUAGAAAGUGGUCACAUUUUAACAAAGAUUCUUGGUAAUGGCCCACGUGGCUGAAUAGAUAGGUGACCUGCGAUCAGCAUACAAUCGAGAUCUUAGUCCAAAGUACUCCAGCAGUGUCAGUUGGAAAAAAUCAUCCUGAGUGGUCAAUGAUGUCCCAACCUUGAGGUUGGUUGGCAUUCGAUUAGGG